Molecule: long non-coding RNA, 462 nt
Organism: Nannospalax galili (Upper Galilee mountains blind mole rat)
Lineage: Eukaryota; Metazoa; Chordata; Mammalia; Rodentia; Spalacidae
Exons: 3
Source: RefSeq, a predicted model, not a curated record
UCUGCUGCCAGGACCCACAGCCCCAUGUGCACCACAUGCGCCAUGAAACUCUGCCAGGCUUUUUAACAGCCAAGCCUAAACCAAGAAGCAAAGGUGCCUUGUAAAUUUCCACUUCAAAAGCUGCGAAGAGGUUUGCAGUCACGCCUGUACUCAGCAGUAGCUGUUGCCUGCAUCACACUUUCAUUUGUGGUCCCAAUAGAGCAGAGCAAUAGACAAUGUGGAAAAUGAAUGAACUUCCACUACAUGCAAUGACGGAGAUCAUCUUAUAACCAUGCCAAUGAGUUGACAACUGCCAGAUGCAAGAAAAUAUACAUAAGAGAUUCAAAGUACAUGCAUCAAAUUUUUUAAGAAGGCAACACUAGUAAACGGCAACUAAGGUAAUAAGGAAAGUUUAAAUUUCUUCUUUUCAUACCUGCUGGAUGAAUUGGCGAUGAGACACCACUCGUCCCAGGUGAUAAAAUG